RNAcentral lists this unclassified non-coding RNA (3784 nucleotides) under Leishmania donovani. RNAcentral's name for it is "gene:LdHU3.32.0960(CDS-product:hypothetical_prote in_conserved)". The record is from RNAcentral. Lineage: Eukaryota; Euglenozoa; Kinetoplastea; Trypanosomatida; Trypanosomatidae.
GACGACACCUUAGCGAUACACGUGGGAGGGUGUUUUGGUUUUCGUGGAGUGUGUGUGUCAGUACACGAUAGCAGCGGCACGUUGUGGGUGUUGCUCCCGGCACUCCGCUCCUUCGCCCCCCAAAAGGAAUAAAAGAGAGAGAAGCGCGCCGCUUGUGCGUGCGCGCGUGUGUGUCUGUGCCUGUGUGCUGUGACGCCGACAUCGACAAUCAACGACCGUAUCUGCUUCUUCCUUUCGUUUCUAGUUUUCCACUUUUUGUUUCGUCUUCCGGUGCGUGCGCGCUUCUGCGCGUUGUGAGCGGUCUCUCUCCCCUCUCCCUAUCCGUGGCGGUUGGUGUGCGUCUACGGCAGUGGAAGGCGCAAGCCAAGCAGACGUGGAGGAAAAGAGGCGUCGUUGUGUAAUGCUAGGCAAUAGCCAGCACACUCUUGCCAGCACAACUUGUGGCCUGCUCGGCCUCCCUCUUAGCUAUCAAGGCAGCAGCAGCAGCAACAAUACGAGAGGCCCCGCGAGCGGCGAGCGUCAAGGAAUGAACCCAGUCACUGGAGGCAUUCCCGGAGUUGCGAAUGGCGCGCAGAUGAUGUCGCCGACGUUUCCGUCGCCCCAUAGCCUAUACAGCCCGCAGCACCACAUGGAUGUGUACCGCACGAACGGCAGCCUUUCUUUGGCGGCAGACCCGUUCCCCGCGACGCCGUACACCCCCAUCAGUAGUCUCUUCAUGUCUCCCUCCGUGCGCAACUCACUGACCACCCCGCACUCGGUGCGGCCGCGUCGCCCGGUCACACACGUCACGUCAUCGAAGUUUUCCAUGUACACCACCAUCUACAACCUGGAGCCGGAGCCGAAGCCAAGCGUGAUGAUGCCCAAGGUGCGCAUGCAGAUAUACCAGACGAGUGCGCGGUACACCGGCAAGGACAUUCUUCUACGACGGCUUGUGAACGUUCCAGUGAAGGAGGAGGAGUGUGCGGCGGUGAAAGAGGCACUGCGGCAGUAUCGGCACCCCAACCUGGUGCCACUGACGAACCUCUUCGCCACGGAGGAGUUCGUGAUGGGCAGCACUGACGUGAUCAUGGAGUACCGCUACAUGUCCGGGGCAAAGAGUUUGCAGGAGGCCUUUUUUACAGAGGGACGCCGCGCGACGGAGGGACUGCUGUGGUCCUUCACAUGUCAGCUCGUCGGCCUUCUCCGCUCCUUCCACGAGACCCUUAUUCCGUUGCACGGCUUGCACUGGUCAAAGAUCAUCUACGUCGAGACGACCGGGCGAUUCUACUUCACCGGCUUGGGACUGACAGACCUGCUAGAACCGCGCGGCACAACGGUGCAGCAGCACAUCCUCAUGAAGCAAGACAUUCAAGCCCUCGGCUUUAUCCUCUUCCAGCUCGCCUCUCGGAACCUCAAUGUCAAGCUGGAGACCUUCACGAACAAGCAGCCGCUGCCCGGCUUCUCACAGAGCUUCUGGGAGCUCAUCAAGACAUGUCUGGAGGGUCACGCCGACUCGGCCCAGCUGUGCCACGCUCUCGGUGAGCGGAUGUCGAUGGAGGUGGGCCACCAGGAGGGACACACGGACUUUCUAAUGUCCCAGUGUCAAAAGGAGAUGCACAACGGCCGUGUGAUGCGCCUGCUCAUCAAGCUGAGCUUCGCUCUAGAGUCGCCGGCGGAAGUGCACGAGUACACGUCGGAGAAUCAGCGCUAUGUUCUGCGCCUCUUCAACCAGUUCCUGUUCAACCAGGUGGAUGAGCAGAACCGAGUGAACGUGGACUGGGGCCACGUGUACCACUGCCUGAACAAGCUGGACAUCGGCUCUGACGAGACGAUCCAGCUGAUCGGCACGGACACCAGCAACACUGUGCUCGUAGUGAGCUACGCUGACUUGCGUGCCAUGCUCGACAGCGUUUUCGAUCGUGUGCAGCAGGUGUCGCAGAUGACGACGGACGUCGACCCUCAGCGGUACACCAUGACACCUGGUAGCAUAUAGACGCCGCAAGCAAGAGGGUCGCGACGUGGGUACGUCGGCUUGCUCUUGGUGCGCAUGCGCGUGUGGCUCUCGAUUGAGUGUGCCUGUGUGGAAUGGAAUGCGAUGCUCAUCUUCGUUCUUUUUUUUUCGUCCUCUUCCCCGUUGCGUUUUGCCUUUCUUGGUAUUUGCCGCCCCUGGUGCAGUCUGCGUGUGCGCACAAAGGGAGGCGAGGGAGGAGAAGGAAAAGGAUAAGCAUGCACAAGUUCUGCGGGUUGGGUGCCGGUGGGCCUGUGUGCGUGUGUUCGUAUGUUGUUCUGUAUUUGCUCUUUGCCUUUGGUUUCUUUUUGUCCAUCUCUUGGAGUGUGUGUGUGUGUGUAGGUGUGUGUGCCGAUGCGCGGGGCACGUGUUCUCCGUUGCUUCAUUCAUCAAACGUUGGAGCUCUAUUACUACAUGGGACUGCGUGUCUGUGUGCCGGUGUUUGGGGAGUGCUUGCACACGGAAAAUCGAGGGCGGCUGCUGAGUGAGAAAGAGAGAUAGAGAGAUAUUGGAAUUCACUGUCUGGUCCGUCAAGCAUGAUUUGCACGAUGCACCGGCACAGAGUGCAAUCGAACCUUCCUGACGCCUAUGACGGAGGCGUGAAAGGCAAAGGCGUGCAUCCUCUCAGUGCGAACACGUGUGUGUGUACGUCUGAUGUCGGCCUUGAUGCUAAUGACGUAGCACCUUGUGGGUUCGUCUAUGCGUGCGCGGUGUGUUUUUCUCCUCCAGGUUCACCCACCCACCCACACACACUCUCUCGCCCUCUUUCUACGUUCAUGUUUGCGUACGCGUGUGUGCGUGUUUGUGUGUGCGCGUCGGCCGCCGUGGUGGACCACAAGCGUUGGGGCCAGUGCUCUUUGUUCUAUUUUUAUUUUUCUUGCUCGCGUCCUCUCUGUUGCUCUUGUUCUUUUGUGUGGGCUCGUGGCGACACGCGUUCUGUAUACGUGCGUGUGGGAUCGUGCGUGCCGGGUGGUGUCUGUGCGUUGUUAUUGGGACCGUUUUUUUUCUUUUUUUUUGUCUGUCAUGAUGUGUAUGUGCAUGUGCGCGUGUGCGUGUGUGUGUGUGUCGUCUGCCUUUUCACUGUUAUUUUACUGUUUUUUUUUUCCUUUGAGCUCUCUCAUGUUUGCCCUCCUCUCGCUCUCCCCGCCUCUCAUCCUCGCCCCUUCGGAUGUUUUGUUUUGUGUUGUUGUUCGGCCCUCCUCCCUCUUUCUCGCCUUCCCACCCUCGUGUCGCUUCAGUGCUGCCCCCCUCCCCCUCUGUCUCUCCCGUAAUCGCUCUUGUGGUAUUGAUCGCUGGUCUGCGCACGCUUCGCAGCUUUACCUGUUCCGUCCAUCUUGACGCUGGUCGAGAUUGCAGUAGAGGUGAAGCGGUGGCAAAAUGUCUAUGCUUGUGUGCGUGUGCGCGCGUGUAGGGCAAGCCGGCAAACUGCUUCGAGCGCAGACACAUGAAGAGCGUGAGAGGGAGAGCGAGGGAGCUAGGGAAGAGUUGACCAUAGAAUGAAGGGAUGAGAAGAGAGCGAGAAACGGCGAGAGACAGAGGAAGACUUUAAAGACGCCAACAAGCAAACGAAGAGACAAAACCAAGAAAACGCGACAGCAGCUAGCAACACAAAAGAUGAAACUACCGGGAGGGGCAUGCAGUCGCUGUUUUUCGGCGUCUUCCGGGGCCUGCCACCGCUGUCGCCGUCGUAGUGGCACCUCACGCCUCUUCAGUCUUGCUCUUGUCGCCUCAAUCUGUUCCUGGUCGCGCCGUCUCUGAGAUGUGCAAAGCCCGACUGAGCGAGGCUUCUCCCUUUCC